Apis laboriosa (Himalayan honeybee) is the source of this 155-nucleotide ribosomal RNA. RefSeq annotates it as 5.8S ribosomal RNA. The record is from RefSeq and is a predicted model, not a curated record. The transcript has a single exon. NCBI's taxonomy places the organism in Eukaryota, Metazoa, Arthropoda, Insecta, Hymenoptera, Apidae.
UACCCUGAACGGUGGAUCACUUGGCUCACGGGUCGAUGAAAAACGCAGCUAAUUGCGCGUCAACGUGUGAAAUGCAGGACACGUGAACAUCGAUAUUUCGAACGCACAUUGCGGUCCACAGAUACAAUUCCUGAACCACGCCUGAUUAAGGGUCG